RNA transcript from Mus musculus (house mouse), 2711 nucleotides. It is a transcript of the gene named glycosyltransferase-like domain containing 1, with no coding region annotated. The transcript is spliced from 11 exons. Lineage: Eukaryota; Metazoa; Chordata; Mammalia; Rodentia; Muridae. The record is from RefSeq and is marked validated.
GGGGGGAAAGCGGGGCGUGCUGACCAAUACCUGCAGGAGGGUGUGCACUCGCCUUGCGGGGUCCCCGAGGCUUAGGCGCGCCCGGAAGGACAGGGAAGGGGACUACAGGUGCCGGCUAGCCACCUGCCUGAGAACGUGCGAGCCGGUACAAGAUUGGAUAUCAGUUCAUCUGGAUCAGAAGGUUUGAACAGGCCAAUGAGUAUUGUCAUCAUCGAGGCAUUUUAUGGAGGCUCCCAUCGACAGCUGGUAGAGCUGCUCCGAGAAGAAUUAGAUGACUGCGUGUUGUACACUCUUCCUGCAAAGAAAUGGCACUGGAGAGCACGCACAGCAGCCUUAUACUUCUCACAGAAUAUUCCCAGCAGUGAGCACUACAGGACCCUCUUUGCAAGCUCAGUACUCAACCUGACUGAACUGGCUGCCCUUCGGCCUGAUCUGGGAAAACUGAAAAAGAUCUUAUACUUCCAUGAAAACCAGUUGGUGUAUCCUGUCAAGAAAUAUCAGGAGAGAGAUUUUCAAUAUGGAUACAACCAAAUUCUCUCGUGUUUGGUGGCUGAUGUUGUGGUAUUCAAUUCCAGUUUUAAUAUGGAAUCAUUUCUUACUUCUAUUGGAAAAUUCCUGAAGCUGAUUCCUGAUCACAGGCCUAAGGAUCUGGAAAGCAUUAUCAGACCCAAGUGUCAAGUUAUUUAUUUUCCCAUCAGAUUUCCUGAUGUGAGCAGAUUCAUGCCCAAGCACAAAAUAGCCCACUUAAGGAGGAUGCUCAGCCUUAUUGGAGAUGCUGCUGCAUCUCAGUCUGUGGCGCCUUGUCCCCAGCCAGGGCAGAGGGUUUCUGAGAAGUCACCGGAGAACUGUGAAUCAAAGUCUGAUGAACACCCUGACCUUGAUGCUGAACAAGAAGCCCUGGACAACCCAUCAGUCCAUAAAUCAGGCUCUCUUCCUGUGAGUAAAGAAAACCUGCCUCUUGAUCCCAGCACCCUUCUGUGUGGAGCUGAAGAUCCGCAAAGACCGCUGCACAUUACAUGGCCGCACAGGUGGGAGCAUGACAAAGAUCCAGAGACGUUCUUAAAGAUACUAAUGAGUCUAAAGCAGUUAAACUUGAACUUCCAUGUCUCUGUCCUCGGAGAGACUUUUACAGACACACCAGAUAUAUUUUCAGAAGCCAAAAAGGCACUGGGCUCUUCAGUCUUGCACUGGGGCUACUUACCCCGUAAAGAAGACUAUUUCCGCGUACUGUGCAUGGCUGACGUUGUCAUCUCAACAGCCAAGCAUGAAUUCUUUGGAGUAGCAAUGUAAGUCUUCUCGUCUAGGAUGUGUGGUGGAACAGUCUGGAAGCAGCUUUACUAAGUGAAGCUUUGCUAACAGUGAACUUCCAGAAUGCAGAGCGCAGUGAUCAGGAAGAAUACAGUGGAGUCUCACCAUCUUUGGUUGGAAGCUGUGUACUGUGGCUGCUACCCACUCUGUCCCAAAGCCUUGGUCUAUCCUGAGAUCUUUCCAGCUGAGUAUCUGUAUUCCACACCUGAACAGCUUUCAAAACGGCUCAAGAGUUUCUGCAAGAGGCCAGAUAUUAUAAGAAAACAUCUUUAUAAGGGUGAAGUGGCUCCAUUUUCUUGGGCAGCCCUACAUGGUAAAUUCAGGUCUCUGCUCACAACAGAACCCAGGGAAGAUUUGUGACAGAUGGGGCUAAGUCGCAAACUUGCAGCCUAAGGCAGAAUCUGAAGAACUUUCCAGAGUGUGCCCAUAUUUACCUGAUCAGAGAGAAAAGAAAAUCUGCAGAGGAAGCCGAGCCUGGCUGCUUGUCAUAGCUGACACAGAGCCAUCUGCCACAAACCUGUGGCGGCUUCAGAUCUCCAAUCCCUGCCACCACCCCAACUCAAAUUAAAUACAGAUUCCUAGAGACGUUAUGAUGGUUACACAUGUCCUCGGCAUCACAUGUAGGAGACUGUUCAAAAAAAAAUCUGUGGCCUGUUGUAUAACCGCACUCAUGUAUCCCAUAUGUGGUGCCACAUUGAAUUUCCGGUUGAAUCCGUUUUUAUCCUUUGUACUGGAUGACACGGAGCCUGAAUUCUUUCUUUCUGCCGACACGAUGGCAGCCAAACUGCAGCUUCAAACACUCACACUUGGCUGAGUUUCUACCUGGGUUGCCAGGUUAUCAUCGGAGCCUUCUUGUGUCCUCAAAGGGCCACGGGGCCUAGAAAGAGGAUCAGAAUGCUACUGAACUAAUUGGGCAGCCAUCUCAAAGCUGCUGUAGGCAAAGGGCUGCUGUAGCACUUUUCUUUUAGCAAAUUAAUGACUCUCUGGCAAAGGAGUGUUUAAGUGAAGGCAUUAAUAAGGGCUCUGGCAGGUAUUCCCAUGAUUCUCAGAGUUCCAUUUGCAUUGAAUUAAUCUUAAAGAAACUUGCAAGAUAAACAGCUGGAAUUCGGACAAACAUGGCAGAUUCAGUGAGUGAAGUCCUCUCAUCCAUAAAAUGAACACGAGAUACUUGUUUUAAAAUUUUUUCCCUGUGGGUAAAAAUAGAAAAAUCAGAAUGCUUAUAACAAAACAUAAUUUGGUACAAAAUUCUUCAAAAUACUUGUAUCCAACUAUAAAUAUAUUCUUCUUGAGAUAAGUCACUUACGAUUCUUGCUCUGUUUGUUGGUGUAAAGAUGUUUUAAAUGGCUGGAUUGUAAAAUACAUUUUUAAUAAACUGCCCGCUGCAAUUUUAAUUAGCAUAUUCA